GAUGAACGCUAGCGAUAGGCUUAACACAUGCAAGUCGAGGGGCAGCAUGGUCUUAGCUUGCUAAGGCUGAUGGCGACCGGCGCACGGGUGCGUAACGCGUAUGCAACUUGCCUCACAGAGGGGGAUAACCCGUCGAAAGACGGACUAAUACCGCGUACACUCUAUGUUGGGCAUCCAAUGUAGAGGAAAUGAAAUUCGCUGUGAGAUAGGCAUGCGUCCCAUUAGCUAGUUGGUGAGGUAACGGCUCACCAAGGCGACGAUGGGUAGGGGAACUGAGAGGUUGAACCCCCACACUGGGAACGGGAAACGGAACAGACUCCUACCGGAAGGAGGAGUGAGGAAUAUUGGUCAAUGGGCGAGAGCCCGAACCAGCCAAAUCGCGUGAAGGAUGACUGUCUUAUGGAAUGUAAACUUCUUUUAUACGGGAAUAACAAGAGUCACGUGUGGCUCCCUGCAUGUACCGGAUGAAUAAGCAUCGGCUAACUCCGUG
RNAcentral lists this ribosomal RNA (490 nucleotides) under uncultured bacterium. RNAcentral describes it as "partial 16S ribosomal RNA". It matches the Rfam family "Bacterial small subunit ribosomal RNA", at positions 28 to 507 of the family's 1533-position model. The record is from RNAcentral.